GAACAUCUUACGGAUGGCCCAGGGCUCCAAAGGCUCGUUUCCUAAGUGAGAGAGAGCCUGGCUGAAGCUGUAUUACCAUUCAUUCUCCAGCCUCCGAAGUCUCAAAGCAUCACUUCCACCAUACUCUAACUGUCAAGACAAACACAAAGGCCCAGAAAGAAGAAUACACUAUCGAUGUUCCUUUUAAACAAGUAUUUGAGUAAAAGCGAUGUUUCCAAUGUGUGUCAGAAAGUGAAUACUUGUAUAUUUCCGCACGGUUAGAGCUGAGCUUUCCGAGCAAAUUUUACUGGGACCCGGUUGAAAGACAGGUCUUGGAAGUGAAAUGAUGACUGACUAGAUGAAACUGCCAGACUGUCUUCUGAAGUGGCUAUAAUAUUUACACUCCCAUCAGCAGUGUAGAAGGGGUCUCACUAUGUUGUCUGGAGUGCUGUGGUGGAGUGGAGUGGCUAUUCACAGAGCCUGUUCUGCUGGGACACAGAAUCACUUGCUCCAUCUCAUACAUUGAUGAUGAUUAAUUUGUAUGUGUACCUUCCAAAAAAGAUGGUUGUGUUUGAAUGGAGGCCUUCUGGACAGGAAAAUAUGGAGAGUGCGUGCUUUGGAUUCAAGACUGGGAAUGAGGGGACCAGAAACCUAUUCUGUGGCUGUUUCUUGUUAGGACUUUCCUAAGCCUCUGGAAAAGUGCAAAGUACAAUUAACAUUUGAGUCUGUCUGAGUCAUGAAGAAAUGGAGAUUACUGAAAAUAAUUCAUUUUGGUAUCUUCUUACAUCCUGAGAGACUAAUCUUUCCAAGUUCAUCUGAGGCUCCUCUUCUCCAUGACAACCUCAUCCAGGGAUUUCUUCCUGUCCUGGUGUUUUAUGACAUAAUCACAUCCUUCCUGAGAUAAUGAGCACACAAUUGCCUGGAUACCUGAAGGAAUGGAGACAGCGGCAGAAAACACUGCAGAGAGGUGGAAACAUCCGUUAAUAUUUUAAAAUCCCAUUACUGCUACCAACAAUAAUAAUGGAUGCAUAGAAAUAGAUCUGGAUUAGCUGAGCUUGAAACAGUCCAUCUCACACACACACAAAAGAAUUUCAGAUACAGUGAACCCACAUGUUGAAGCUUUCUAGUAUAAUAAAAAUUUCAACUGUUCUGUUGAAUCAUCUGCCUGAUUGGAGGCUACAGAAAAGAUGUCAUCUUAGGAGUGCUUGCUCUGAGUGAGGCUCAUCUUCAAAUCUGAAUGACCACAAGGAGAUUUGAUUAUACAUGUGAACACCUCAGAAGGCACAGCCCACCCAGAAGGCAGACAGAAGAAGCUGCCAGGAAGACUGUGAAAUCUUCAUGCCCAAGGAUCCCUAAAAUUAGGAGCAACAACCACUUGGCUCAGACGGUUUAUGGAGGCAAAGGUUUGGAUGGGAUUAGAGAUUUCUAAAUGUGAGUUCGUGUCCUCUGCCAGACCACCUUACUUCCACCAUUCCUCAGCAAAUCAAGAAAAACAGGAGAAAAGACAUGCCUUUCCAUAAGUUAAAUCUAUUCUGUUUUAAUUCUAUAUUAUAUCUGCUGUACAACUUCUUUUGUUUGUAACACCAUAUUGUUGCUAGUAACUGGAAAUUAAUUUUCACAUGCCUCAGCUUAGAAAAAUAAAAAGCAGCCCUGCAUCAA
Molecule: long non-coding RNA, 1638 nt
Filed under: Homo sapiens (human)
Lineage: Eukaryota; Metazoa; Chordata; Mammalia; Primates; Hominidae
Description: long intergenic non-protein coding RNA 635
Source: RNAcentral